GGCCGCGGGAAUUCGAUUGGAUCGCCCUUAGAGUUUGAUCAUGGCUCAGAUUGAACGCUGGCGGCAGGCCUAACACAUGCAAGUCGAGCGGAUGAAGGGAGCUUGCUCUCUGAUUCAGCGGCGGACGGGUGAGUAAUGCCUAGGAAUCUGCCUAUUAGUGGGGGACAACGUUUCGAAAGGAACGCUAAUACCGCAUACGUCCUACGGGAGAAAGCAGGGGACCUUCGGGCCUUGCGCUAAUAGAUGAGCCUAGGUCGGAUUAGCUAGUUGGUGAGGUAAAGGCUCACCAAGGCGACGAUCCGUAACUGGUCUGAGAGGAUGAUCAGUCACACUGGAACUGAGACACGGUCCAGACUCCUACGGGAGGCAGCAGUGGGGAAUAUUGGACAAUGGGCGAAAGCCUGAUCCAGCCAUGCCGCGUGUGUGAAGAAGGUCUUCGGAUUGUAAAGCACUUUAAGUUGGGAGGAAGGGCAGUAAGUUAAUACCUUGCUGUUUUGACGUUACCGACAGAAUAAGCACCGGCUAACUUCGUGCCAGCAGCCGCGGUAAUACGAAGGGUGCGAGCGUUAAUCGGAAUUACUGGGCGUAAAGCGCGCGUAGGUGGUUCGUUAAGUUGGAUGUGAAAGCCCCGGGCUCAACCUGGGAACUGCAUCCAAAACUGGCGAGCUAGAGUAUGGCAGAGGGUGGUGGAAUUUCCUGUGUAGCGGUGAAAUGCGUAGAUAUAGGAAGGAACACCAGUGGCGAAGGCGACCACCUGGGCUAAUACUGAC
RNAcentral lists this ribosomal RNA (770 nucleotides) under uncultured bacterium. Its description in RNAcentral is "partial 16S ribosomal RNA". It matches the Rfam family "Bacterial small subunit ribosomal RNA", at positions 1 to 744 of the family's 1533-position model. The record is from RNAcentral.